This is a long non-coding RNA of Gymnodraco acuticeps, 878 nucleotides long. RefSeq lists it as uncharacterized. NCBI's taxonomy places the organism in Eukaryota, Metazoa, Chordata, Actinopteri, Perciformes, Bathydraconidae. The transcript has 3 exons. The record is from RefSeq and is a predicted model, not a curated record.
CGGUGAUUUGGGGGAUAGUCUAAAUUCCCAGCCUCCCUGAACUGUCCAAAGUGGGGAACACUUCAACGUGGAUAUCUGUCGGACAGGUCAGAACUGAAAUGGGCCGAAAGUGCCUCCAUGAAUUUCAUUUUAAUGGAACUUAGAAGUGGCUUAAAGCAGGCGCCGGUCUCCAGCCCGUUAAUCAGCAGAUUGUUAAUGAAGGCCCGAGUUCAAAGACACAGAGAGGGAGAGGAGGCACACAGUGGUAGAUGGGGAGGAGUUCUGGACCAACUGUCUGUUUGUCAAAACAUGUCCACCCGUCUGUCUUCUCCUCUGAUGUGCGCUCCCCGGUGAGGACCACAACACCGCAUUUUCUCUUUGGGUUUUCCCUUUCAUGUUCCAUUAAAUGUGAACGAGAAGGAGACAGAGAGACAGCCAGAGAGGGAGAUUAAUUACAUGUUUCAAUAAUGGAGAUUAAUUAGUAUUAUUUAAACAUUGACAGUAUCAACUAGACGUCAAGCAUUUUGCGAGGCACACACUAGACUUCUCCUUUUAAUUGGUAAAUUCAUGUCUCUCCGUGGCAGCCUAAAAGUCAUCUCUUCACAUCUUUUCCCUCCGUGCACUUUUCCUUUAAUAUUGUACAUCAACUCAGCUGGCAUCCAAAAUUGUUGCUUUCAUGUAUAUCAUUUUUGUGUUUAUUCCUACCUUUUAUUAAGCUUGCAAAGUUGAAUAAACUUCCAGACAUUUUAAUUGUACUGCUUUUCCAGUACAUAGACAAAGCAUAGCUUAUUAUGAACAACUAUUUCAAAGUAAAACAUGGCCAAGUCAGAAGCACAAAAUAGUCAAACCCAUCCCCUCCCUUUCCUUCUCCUGAUGGAUGCCAACUCAACAAAUAUUAG